AGGGGCAUAGCUCAAUUGGUAGAGCACCCGUCUCCAAAAUGGGUUGUUGCGGGUUCAAGUCCUGCUGCCCCUG
RNAcentral lists this transfer RNA (73 nucleotides) under Ktedonobacteraceae bacterium. Its description in RNAcentral is "tRNA-Trp". It matches the Rfam family "tRNA". From Rfam's summary of the family: Transfer RNA (tRNA) molecules are approximately 80 nucleotides in length. Their secondary structure includes four short double-helical elements and three loops (D, anti-codon, and T loops). The record is from RNAcentral. RNAcentral also lists the same sequence under 1 other name. Lineage: Bacteria; Bacillati; Chloroflexota; Ktedonobacteria; Ktedonobacterales; Ktedonobacteraceae.